Molecule: non-coding RNA, 74 nt
Organism: Cordylochernes scorpioides
Lineage: Eukaryota; Metazoa; Arthropoda; Arachnida; Pseudoscorpiones; Chernetidae
Source: the annotation of a GenBank genome assembly
ACCCACGGGGCGGGAAUCGAACCCACAACCUUCUGCUUACCGGGCAGGUGCCAUGUCCACUAGGCUACCCUGGA